This 468-nucleotide ribosomal RNA is filed under the name uncultured bacterium. RNAcentral's name for it is "partial 16S ribosomal RNA". It matches the Rfam family "Bacterial small subunit ribosomal RNA", at positions 28 to 507 of the family's 1533-position model. The record is from RNAcentral.
GACGAACGCUGGCGGCGUGCUUAACACAUGCAAGUCGAACGGAAAGGCCCUGCUCUUGUGGCGUGGUCGAUAGGCGAACGGGUGAGUAACACGUGAGUAACCUGCCCCUAUCAUUGGGGUAUCUCUAGGAAACUGCGGCUAUAACCGGAUAGGAGCUCCUGCUGCACGUGGGGCGUUGGAAAGUUUCGGCGGUGGUGGCUGGACUCGCUGCUUAUCAGCUUGUUUGUGGGGUUGUGGCUGUCCAAGGUUGUGACGGGUAGCCUGCCUGAGAGGGUGACCGGCCACAUGGGGACUGAGAUACGCCGCAGAAGCCUACGGGCGGCAGUAGUGGGGAACAUUGCACAAUGGGCCGAAGCGUGUGGCAGCAACGUCGCGUGCGGGAUGACGGCUUUUGAGUUGUAAACCGAUUUCGCCGGUGACGAAGCGUGAGUGACGGUAAUGGAUAAAGAAGCACCGGCUAACUACGUG